GUCUAUGGCCAUACCACCAUAAACACACCCGAUCCCAUCUGAUCAGGAAGCUAAGCAGGGUCGGGCCUGGUUAGUACUUGGAUGGGAGAGUGAUUCUUUUAGCUGUAUGUGAAGCACAAAGCUUGAGAAA
Erinaceus europaeus (western European hedgehog) is the source of this 130-nucleotide ribosomal RNA. Lineage: Eukaryota; Metazoa; Chordata; Mammalia; Eulipotyphla; Erinaceidae. The record is from Ensembl.